RNAcentral lists this ribosomal RNA (483 nucleotides) under uncultured bacterium. RNAcentral describes it as "partial 16S ribosomal RNA". It matches the Rfam family "Bacterial small subunit ribosomal RNA", at positions 30 to 506 of the family's 1533-position model. The record is from RNAcentral.
AUUGAACGCUGGCGGCAGGCCUAACACAUGCAAGUCGAGCGGAUGAAGGGAGCUUGCUCCUGGAUUCAGCGGCGGACGGGUGAGUAAUGCCUAGGAAUCUGCCUGGUAGUGGGGGAUAACGUCCGGAAACGGGCGCUAAUACCGCAUACGUCCUGAGGGAGAAAGUGGGGGAUCUUCGGACCUCACGCUAUCAGAUGAGCCUAGGUCGGAUUAGCUAGUUGGUGGGGUAAAGGCCUACCAAGGCGACGAUCCGUAACUGGUCUGAGAGGAUGAUCAGUCACACAGGAACUGAGACACGGUCCAGACUCCUACGGGAGGCAGCAGUGGGGAAUAUUGGACAAUGGGCGAAAGCCUGAUCCAGCCAUGCCGCGUGUGUGAAGAAGGUCUUCGGAUUGUAAAGCACUUUAAGUUGGGAGGAAGGGCAGUAAGUUAAUACCUUGCUGUUUUGACGUUACCAACAGAAUAAGCACCGGCUAACUUCGU